Gallus gallus (chicken) is the source of this 14444-nucleotide long non-coding RNA. The record is from Ensembl. NCBI's taxonomy places the organism in Eukaryota, Metazoa, Chordata, Aves, Galliformes, Phasianidae.
UAGGAAGUAGCCCUCAGGCAAGAAAAAAAAAGAGAUGAAACCCUGGACCAACAUUGUAACCCCACAAGCUGUGGGAAGCAACUACUCUUUUUCACUUGAAAUAUCCCUGUGAGCUGAUGUGGUCCAUUCUACACUUUGUGGUAAGCCUACAUUGACUGGCACAGACUCACUCUGUGGACGUGCAAGUCAAAUAGUAACAUGGAAAACCUUCUCACUUCUGCUUGAGAGAUACAUCAGAAGAGGAACAAUCUGUUGGGGUCUGCUGAAAAGAAAAAGGAGCUGACUGUAUUGUGGGGUUCAAAUAGCUGUAAUCUGCAGGCAGAUUUUAUUGAUUGUUUCCCUCCCUUUCUUCCCUAGAAGCUCAGCUUUUCUAGAAGAGAGUAAAGGAUGAGGAGUUAUGCUGACAUUUGGAAAAGGGCUAGGAAGUUGACCUGUGUUCAACAUAUCUGCCAUAAAUGAAUGCUCACCAUGAAGUAGUGCACCCACUGCAAGCAAUGCAGUGAAGUGUUCCAGGGCCAAGAGAGUUCCGUCAUGAAUUUAAGGAAAGGAAUUACUUCAUCCAAAAAGGUCUGGACACCUUGAAACAUUCUGGUAUCUCUAAGGAGGAGAUGAUGCACCUUAGGGCUGCCUUGACCUUGCCUGGGGCUUGAUGAUCCUUGAGGUCCCUUCCAACCCAAGCCAUUCUAUAAUUCUAUAGGGCACUUUCACAUUCAGCAACACCAGUAGGAUGCUUGUUCUCAGACGGAGCAAGUAACCUAUGUAUUGACUUGGAAAUUGAGGUGAGUGUUCCUCCACUUUAAGAAUAGUCAGGAUUAGCAAGUGGUGUGAAGGUAUAAAGUUGUUUGUUUGUUUAAAUGACAGCAUAAGGAAUAUCUACCUGAGCCAUUGUAAUUCAGUGUUUCAUUAGCAUGAGAUGCAAGUCUAUUGAGACUUUACUAUUCCAAGUCCAUAAGAAAAUGGGACAAGGCUCCUAAUUCUUAAUGCAGCAAAACACUUAGAAUGAAGGAGAUUUGAAUCCAGGUUUAAAUCUAAACUAAAUCUUGCUGCUUAAGAGGAUUGAAGUUCAGCGUUUGUUGAGUUGAAGCCCAGAAACAAUAAAGCAAUAAAGCAUCUCUUCAACUUUUUUUUUUAAAUUUAAAUUUUGUUCUUCUAAAAUUCCCUGUUCAAAUCUGUGUAACCACCAUCCACAUUCAUUAUGGGAGAAGUGAUGGUAGUUCAGUAGCCAUAGUGCAUCCUCAGCCCCCUGAAUCACACGCUGAACUGAAAUGCUGAAAUAAGCAACAGUAUGGCUUACCCUUUCCUAACCUCUGACUGUAUCGGAAGGAUGAUAAUAUUGCUUAAACCUAAUGUAUAAGAAAGAAAUGGUUUCAUUGUUAUCUGAUGGAGACCCCAUAACAAUGCCACAGUGACAGAGGCUAUAAUGAGGAACUGUAGGAUUUCAAUGGCAAAAGGGAUUCAUUGCUAGUUCAUGACCUCAUGAAGAAAUCAUUACAAUGCCAUCAGAGAUAUGAAGUCGUUAUGGGAAAACUAUUUCAAAGCAAGUCUAGAAGGACCUGUUUGAAGGUGCUGUUAAGAAGUCAUUACAGUGUAAGGUUAUGAUGGCAAAAUGGUUUCAGUGAAACUCUGUUAUAGUCUAAAAAUAAAUUAAAUGGUGUCAGUGAAAAUUAUUCCCCUUCAAAACCUACAGAAAUUAAACAGACCUCUCUCUAAACCAAAACAAUGGUAAAUUAGAAGUUUGACUGACACUUGAUCAGAAGGAGAGUAUGAGGGCUGUUCCAAAAGUAAUGCCUCCUAUGUUACUAUGUUGGCCCACAAUUUCAGAGACAGAUGUCAGUGAUAUGACAGUAGAAGCUGAACCUUCUGACAGUAUUCCAUUACAUUUUGUUGUUGUGUGAUAGAUGGCAGUAGAGGGGCAGACUGACAAAAUAGCAUCUGACAUGGGAGUGCAUAUGAAGCAAAGGUGCGGAAUUGAAUUCCUGCCUGCAGACACAUAGCACCCAUUGACAUUCACUGACCCUGAGGAGAAGAAUUUGGGAGUGUCAGUUGAUGAAAGACUCAACAUAAGCUGGCAGUGUGCAUUUGUAGCCCAGAAGGCCAACCAUAUCCUGGGUUUCAUCAACAGAAAUGUGACCAGCAGGUUGAGUGGUUCUACUCCUCUACUCUGAUCCUGUGUGACCCCACCUGGAGUAAUGUGUCCAGAUCUGGGGCCCCCAGCACAGGAAGGACAUGGAGUUGUUCGAGCUGGUCCACAGGAGGGCCACAAAGAUGAUCAGAGGGCUGGAACAUCUCCCCUGUGCCGGCAGGCUGAGGAAGCUGGGAUUCUUCAGCCUGGACAAGAGAGGGCUCCAGGGGGGACCUUAUAGCAGCCUUCCAGUACCUGAAGGGGGCCUAUAGGGAAGCUGGGGAAGGACUUUUUAUAAGGAUAUGUAGUGACAGGACAAGGGGAAAUGGUUUUAAACUGGAAGAGGGUAGAUUUGCACUAGAUAUUAGAAAGAAAUUCUUUACUGUGAGUGUGGUGAGACACUGGAACAGGUUGCCCAAUGACACUGUGGAUGCCCCCUUCCUGAAAGCACUCAAGACCGGGCUGGAUGGGGCUUUGAGCAACCUGGUCUAGAGGGAGGUGUCCCUGCAUAUAGCAGGGGGGUUGGAACCAGAUGACCAUAAAGGUCCUUUCCAGCCCGAACCAUUCUGUUAUUCUAUGACCCUUGCUGAAAAUUUAUGGAGACCAGACAGUGGAUGUGAGCACAGUGACGUAGUGGGUGGUGAAUUUCAGCAGUGCUGACAGCAACAGUGGGUCACCUCCACUGGUGCAGAUUUUUACGACUGUAGCAUACAGACUUUUGUUCAUCACUAGCAAAAAUGCAUAGCUAAUGCUGUUGUCUAUGUUGAAAAAUAGUGUUCAGUAGCUGAGAAUUUGCUUUAUCAGAUACUGUUAUUGUGCUCUUUGGAUGUGUUAUCGUUUCCAUUGAAAUAAAUAGGAGGCAUUACUUUUGGAGUGACAUACAGAAUUAUGAAUUCUUAAAGCAAUCAAAUAAAAUUUUGGCUGGAGUUACCCAGCUGGAAAAUAAUGUCACUGAGUUUCUAGGAUCUUAAUUUUGUAAAUUAAAAUGAAAUAUCAUCCUCACAUCAAAGUUUAUAGUAAAUAUCAUUCUUCUGUAUCUUCCUUGUUGUAUUGCAAAUUAGUCUAUGAGCACUUUUUGUUUUUCUUAUUGCAUUUCUGACUUGCAUUUGUUCUGAUAGGGCAUAGAUCUAAAAUAAAUUAAAAUUCCACUGCCACUCCUAGCCUAGAAUUUUGAGUGACAGUUGAGACUGUCUGUCAAACUAAAUAGUCUAUUUCAAAACAGUAAAAAUCUCCCCACCCAAGACUCACUUCUCAUCAGUAAUGUGGUUAGUAUUUAUCUGGUUUAAAAUCCAGCCUGAUCUGAUCAUCUACUCUAUCAUUGGUGCUGGAUGGGAAUAAAAUGUACAUUUAGGAGUUGUUUUGGAUGAUUGUACCCCACUACCGAAUAAUUAGAAUAAUAUUUUCACUAAAAGGAAUGUAUUCCUGAAGUACCUCUGAGAUACCAAAAAAAAAUCCAAAUUUUCUUCUUGUGUUUUUUUAUUUUCAGUGAAUAGCUGCCUAUCUGCUGUCCAAAAGCUCAGCUAGAUCUGGUGCAAUACCGUAGACUUUAACUUGGGGCUGCAUGAAUAUUGUGUCAUUUGGGUGCUCACUGCAACUUGGAAGAGAAGAGGAUAUCCAGCACCAUGAGGACAGAAAGUUUCCUAAGGCCAAGAAAACCUUAUUGAAAUGAAAGAUUUCAGCAAAAUAUUCCAGAUUUGACAACUUGGUAACGUCCCUUUCAAAUGAACAUGGAAGAACAUGCAGAUGAAGUCAAAUCUCCGUUGACUGGUUUGUGACCAAUGGGACAGACUUUCCAGGAAUCCUUUCACCUGCCAGCUGCAGGAACUAUUUCCCACGUGAUACUGAAAUUCAUACAGUUCCAUCAUACCUUUUUGGCGAUGAAAAGUACUGGAUGUAGUGUUCUAAAUGUCUGCCCACCAUGCAUUUAACACGGUAAUAUAAUGAUGUUUCCUGGUUUGUUUGCUACACCUUUUCAGUUAAUUCCCUUCCCUAAUAAUAGUUUCUUCAUCUGACAAUUGCUGGCCACUGAGCUAUCUUUUUUUUCUGAGAACUGUUCGUAUGAAGUGAUCAUAAAAUGUACAACUUCACUGAGGAGCUUUUACUGCCUUUUUUAUACUUCUCUCUAAACUUACGCUAUUGGCCUCAGUUGGGCAGAGUAUGAGGCCAGACGGGCCUUACUCAGAAAGGCCAUUCUUAUGUUAUGUUCUUGAGCAGCAGGAGUUAAUAUAUAGGCCGUCAGUAUAUUACUUUUGUUUUUCCCAUGCUUAUGGUUUUGCAUUUAUCAAUGUUGCAGUUCAGCUGACAAUCCACUUGUUAAAGACUGGAGACCUUUUGGAAGUCUCUAUCAUAGCUCCCUGGGAGACUACCUUAGUAAAAUUCCUCCAGAGUGUAACUGGCCUUUUAUUCUUGGUCAUUUACCCUGUCAUUUCAAAAAUAAUUUAUUUAUGCAAGGACUUUCUCUUCUUAUGUGUAGUAGGUUUGGUUCUUUAAGAGUCUAGCAAAGGAACAUCUUCAGAUCCUUUUGUAUCAACCUUCUCCUUGAAGGUUGAUACCUUUUCUCCGCUGCAUGCUGCACCUUGAGUACUGCGUCCAGUUUUGGGCCCCUCACUGUAAGAAAGACAUCGAGGCCCCGGAGCAUGUCCAGAAGAGGGCAACAAAGCUGAUGAGGGGUCUGGAGCACAGGCCUUAUGAAGAGCAGCUGAAGUAGCUGGGAUUGUUCAGUCUAGAGAAGAGGAGGCUCAGGGGAGACCUUAUUGCUCUCUAUAACUACCUGAAGGGAGGUUGUAGUGAGCUGGGGGUCAGCCUCUUCUCUCGGGUGACUAGUGCUAGGACUAGAGGGAAUGGCUUCAAGCUGCGUCAGGGAAGAUUCAGGCUGGACAUUAGGAAAUACUGCUUCUCUGAAAGGGUGGUCAGGCACUGGAAUGGGCUGCUCAGAGAGGUGGUGGAGUCACCGAGCCUGGUGGUGUUCAAAGAGCGUUUGGAUGUUGUGUUGAGGGACAUGGUUUAGCGAGAACCAUUGGUGAAGGGCGAAUGGUUGGACUGGAUGAUCCUGUGGGUCUUUUCCAACCUUAGCGAUUCUAUGAUUCUCCACCUGUUUUUUUUUUUGCUCUUUCAGAGAACUUCAAUCUGUGAGACCUGAUUCCUAGUACAAAAUUAAAUUCUACACCUACUUGUUGUUUUAGAUUUGUAUCUAAUUCCAUGCUUUCUUCUAGAUCCAACCACUUUAUCUAGCAUGAAAAUUGUCAUCUGCAGUUUCCAGUUUCUCUGAGAUCUUUCCAAAAGUUGAAACAUUUUCAGUGCCAAAGCUAAUGUAGCUAAACUACAACUUGCAGAGCAUAGAUUUUUAUGGACAUAUGGAUGAGUUCAGUCUGGGCUGGUCUGUUCAGGAACUCUGUGCUGACUCUCAGCCUUGAAGCCACUCUUAAACAGAUUCCACUCUGCAGAGAAAGACUGCAAAAUGGAAUUCUUAUGUAUAAUGGACAAUAACACACACCAAUCAUUUAACUAGUUUGUUAUUGUCUUAUCUUUUUUUAUUUUUCCUGAACAUUUUGAACAUCACUGGUGACCACUGGCUGGCCUUCUAGUUCUGUGCUGAGAAAGAGGUGUGUUGUUUGGGUUUUGGUUUUUUUUUUUUUUUUUCUUUCCAUAAUUUUCAUGCUUUUAAAAGAUUACUUCCUUAAUCGUUUUGACUUUCCUUAUUGUUGUUUGAUGUUUAAAUAUUUAAUUUAUUCUCUUUCUCAUUUCUCUUAUUUGGACAAAGCUUCUAUUUUCAGUGGAACACCUCCUUUAAAACUAUUCUUUGACAUAUCCACGUGUGAGGUUGGGGUAAGAACACUUCUAAAAUCUUUUUGCUGAGUACUGUGCUUUCGCUGUGAUGUCUUUUAAGUUUCCGUUCUGUUUACAAGCACCUUAUUCUUCCACUGCCACUUUUAUUUUGGCUUUAAUGGGCUUAUUUAUUUCUAUGCAGUUCCCUAUUUCCAGACUCAGUGCUGCAGUUUCUUUUUUGCUCUUACUGGGAGGUUGAAGAUUACCUUGUUACUAUAGGAUGCUUCUUUGACAAAGACUUCAUGAGCAGAGUUCGUGCUCAUCCAAGACUACACCGAGGUUACUGUCUUUUUCUGUGGGGAGUCUUGACCAGAAUUUUCAUCAGUGUCAGUGUUUGAUCUUUUUGCUGAUGCCAACAUUCUGCUUCAGGUAGUGAGAAAAGCCAAAGGCCUCUGGACUGGUUUCUUGUCUAAACAGAGGUUGCACGUGAAACAGCUCUGUUGUAGUGUGCAGUCAGUCUGGUCAUGUGAAAAUGACUUGGAAGAUGAUGGUUGUCCAAACAGCCCCAGCUGAUUUAUAUCCUCUCAUAGCUGUGAACUGAUACUCUUCAGUAGUUGCUUUGCUAGCCAUGAUUAUGAUGUAGCACAUGGGCAUGACGCAUAUGAUGAAUACUGAAGAUACAUGUACAAGCUGCAUGUAGUCCAAGAGCCAUAAACUAUUCCUCCUGACUUUAGAGGUAAGCUUUUUUGUCCUUGGGACACACUUGUGGCUGUGGCCAUCGAUGAAAUGCAUUUUUGUAUCCCUGCAGGCCAGUAGCAAUUUUUAGCCCUUUGAAAUGUGAAGGAUAUUGUGACUCCUUUACUGAUAGAUCUGUUCUUGGAUUGUCCCCUGGCUUGGAUUAUUCUGUGGUAGAUAAAAAAUAUGACUUUUUAUAGGGCUGUGAGUUCCCUAAAUCAGGAAAUAUCUUUUCUGAAUAAUUGGACAUCACUUAAUAGGCAUCACUGCAAAUGCAUUAAUAGUGUAACACCCUCUACUUCAUCCUUUUGACCUCAUCUACAUCAUGUAUAUUUAUUCUUUCCCUGAUAAAAACAUUAACCUCUUAUCUUGCCUUAGGUUCACAUAUUCAUUCACUAUUUGAGAAAACAGAGAGAGAGGAAGGAAGGAAGGAAUGUAGAGGGAGAGGGAGAGAGGGAGGGAUAAAGGAAGAGAGGAGCUUUUAGCAUUCUGUAGCUGAGCUGCCUGAUGUAAUGUGUUAGAGGAUAUAGGUGCCAGUAAUGUGCAAAGAGCUUGAAAAAUGACCAGACAGUGCCAAACCCACAGUGCAUGUUGUCAAGAGGGCUAACAGUAUAAUAAAUCAACCUGUCUCGUGUCAAGGGUCAGGUGGUUUGAUGUUCAAAGCUUUUCGGCCAGCCUGAUCCAGCCAGGCAGAUGCUAUUCAUUUCUGAGCCUCCAGCACUAUUAUGAUACUGGGAUCACCAUAAAGAAGUGCCAGCCCUGUGGUUCUUUGGUCUUUAAGUCAAGAUCCCAAAGGGGAAAAUUAUCCAGGAGAAGAGAGCAAAGUGCUGCUUAGUUUCAAACCUUAUGCUUUCCUCAUAAUUAUUUUUUCAAAGCAGCACUGAGAAAAGCAUGGAAAACCAUGUCAGAUGGAUUUUUCCUAUGCUUUCUGUAUAGGACAGUGAUGCUUAACCUUUUCUUAUCUGAGCAAGCCAUAUGGGCCCACCGUGAUGGGUGGGGACAACUGGCUCUGCCUUCCUCUGUUCAUGUGACCAUGUACCUACUCAAAAGAAAUGUCAUAUUUUGAGUAAGUGGAGGAUGUGAAGCACAAUAUAAUUAAACGAUCCACUCCAGUCACAGCUACUGUACCUUCCUUCCGUGAUGUUUAGAGGGGCUAGAGGGAGGAGACCCUGCCUCUGGCCUGCCAAGCUAGAAGGAGGGUCUUUCCACAUGUGUCUUACACUGUGUCUGCAGGGCUGGAUGAGUGCAGGGAAUCUGCUGUAGGCAUUGCAGGCCAAUCUGAAACUUACAUGUUCAGGAUCUUUAAUUAGCUUUGUUAGUUGGGAAUAUGCAAGGAGAAAGGUUAAAGCAGCAAAUCAGGCUAAUUACAGGCAGGAGGUCCCAGGAGUUCAGAUCAAGUGAUCUUCCCUGGCCCUAAGAGGGAAGCAGUUAACACUGUACUGUCUCUGCCAGUGCCACAGGGCUGCUGUUUUCCCAGUCUUUGGGCUUUAAGAGUGGUAACUCCUGCUUCCUUCAGAACGCCACACAUCUGCAACUGUAAAACUGGGGGCUCUAUAGGCACCAACACAGUGUCCCAAAUUAUCAUAGAAUGGCUUGGGUUUAAAAGGACUCAUCUCUUAGCAAAUUCAUUUCUAAUAGCCUCUUCCCAUUGUUGUAGAAACACUUCUGCACAUUUUCCCCCUCUCCAGCUACAUCAUCAGUGCACUGUUAUUUCUAGUGUUAUAUAAAUUAGAGUCCAAAAUAUUGAAACUAAAAUGUCAUGGGGGAAGUUGGGUUAAAGGAGGCAGCUGAGGUACUGAAACAUCCAAGUGUCAGAGGCAAACUGACAUGAGGACCAAUAACAUGGAGCAAAAAUGCUGGUAGACAUGUUACACAGCAAGUGAUUUUGUAGCAGAUAACAAAUUCUAGAAGAGUAGUUGGGUGAAUUCUGUAUCAGCAGAUACAGAGGAAAUUUCAAUGAUAAUCUGUUGUUGUCCAAAGAGCAAGCAAAAAUAAAACACAUCAGAUACCCAAAAGAAAAUCAGAACUCCAACCCAAAGAAUCCAAAACAAUGAAUACCCAUCAAAACUAUAAAACAAUUAGAUUCAAACAGUGUCUACAGGGAAGAUUUGGUGCGAGUCUUAAAUGGUAGUAGACUGAAUUUGGUUAGUUUGUUUCCAGGAUUUUUCUCAGAGAUUUGUUAACUCCUAUGUUGGAGGGUUAUUUUGCUCAGAGGAACAAAUGUGGGUAUGAUGUAAGUCAUAACCAUAUGUAUUUUGUUUUAUCAUUUCAUAUAUCCUGCGUGGAUAUUAAUUCCACUGCAUGUUUCUACUUUUUUUUUUUCUUCCAGAAAAUAACUCCCCUCACCAAGCCCCGAUGAGUACAGUGGUUGUCUUUUCUCAAAAAGGAAUAAGUCACAAUGAUUCUAUUUUUUUUUUUGUGUGUGUGUUGUUGUUUUUUGUUUGUUUGGUUGGUUGGUUUUUUUUACAUACCCAAAUCCUGUGAAGGACUUCACCAAAUGAAGGUCAGCAGUUGUUGAAGUACUAGUCUGGCAGUAGCCAGAGUCUCCUGCAUCAACAACAUGGAACUAAGUCAACUUUUACUAGCUCCUUUCCCCAUCCACAGACUGCAUGAUAAUGCUUGAAGCCUUUAUAAAUGUAUUUGGGCAAUGUAUAAAAUGUCAUUUGUAUGAGUAAGUGAUUAUCAGCAGAGUGCCUCUCUGAAGGAUCGAAGUGUGAGACAAAAGACAAAAUACAGAUUUGAUCAGUUCAUGACUAUAUGUACAUAGUUAAGAUUUACAAUAUAAAGAUUAUUUUUUCAAAUUAUAAUGCCUGUCAAAUUAUAAUACUGUCACCGUUAAGAGUUUCUGAAAAUCCCACCUACAUAUUCCGGUAGGAAAUUAUGCAAAGGCAAAGUGUUAUGACAGGGAAGACUGCUCUAUCUGCAGUAGUUUUAGGCAAUGUAAUAAUAAAAAUAGAACAAUAGAUUGUAUCAAUAGAGCAAAGAAACAAACAGUGAAGGCAGAGGUCAGAAAGGACCACUUGAUGUAAAAAUAAAAUAUAUUCUUCAGCUAUAGCAGUUAAAUCAGUACUUGUGAUAGCAGAGUUGGACUGUAUUAUCAAGUCAAACUCAGACAGUGAGCAAGGGUAUCAUCUCAGAGACUCAAGGGGAAAACUAUGGAUUAGAACAUGGAAAGAAAAUAUAAGGGAAGAAAAUAUUCAAGGUGUGAAAAACUAUUUCUGCCAGUGGUUAACUGAGGUGAAAUUUUUUGAGGUUUCCAUCCUUCCCAUUGAAAUUUGAGGCCGUCACUACAUGAUAUGUUGUCUUUGGCAGCAAAGCUGGCUAGAAAGUUCCCGAGAUCCACUGCCAUUUCAUUGCUACAUGUGUUUGUUAAUAAAUGCUUAUGUCUCUGCGCUGCUGACAGGUGACUCAGAUGGUAUGCAGUCAAAACAGCCAUUCAAAACUUUUCAGUCUGAAAAAACAAAGGCUCUCUGACCUGAACCAGUUUAGAAUUUGAGGUAGUGUUGUAGGCCACAACACGAGCUUCAGUGAUGAACCAGGAUAGCAUCUGGUAACGACAGGAGAUUUGUGCAAUCUUCCUCUUCAGUAGUUCCACUCAUACAGGAAAGUGACCCAGAGCAGAGGGAUAAAAUAACCUUUGUAUCCUCUUGUACCUGAACAGCAUGAGCUGGUCUGGGGAACGGUCAGCUCUGCCCUUCAGACUUCAAUUGCAUCCGGCCAUGUAUGCUAUGCAGGUUUCUUGUUCACUGGGUGAUCUUGAAGUGGCCUUGCUAAAAGCUCUCUCUGCCAUUUCCAAAGGAGAUAAAUCUACCUAGAGCCCUGGGAAGCAGAAUUGCUCUUCUUUUUGAAGUGAAGGACCAGUGGUGAACUGGCAAUGAUCAUGACAGUGCCCCUCAUUACUCCAGCCCUCAGCACAUGAUCCCAGGCGACAUGCACUCUAUGCUCUGCUGAGGAAGAUCACAGCGAUCUUGAUAUGAUGGCACAGGACAAGAAUACAUAGACUUGGCUGGAUCAAAAGCAAUGUGCUGAGACUCUACAUCAUCUUGGUGCUUCAGGAGACUAAUUUCUGGACUAAACAGUCUUUGAAAUGAUUCCACAUCACGAGCUUCCGUCCCCACCUUAGUCAAGUCCUGUGAUCACCAAGGCAGACAAAGACAAGCACAGAAAACUGAGGACAAAUCAGGAGCUUCACAGACUGUUUUUAAUUGGGAGGAAACAAAAGAAAAAAUAUCACAAUUUGUACAAGAUGGUGAGAUGGACUCAUUUUAUGAGUAAUAAAAUAAACUUUGGUUCUCAUUUAUUCUAAUUGUCCUGAAAGAUCUUCUAGAGGCAAACAUGAGAGACACAAGACAAAUUACAAAAUUUUCAUCCCUAUCACACAAUUUGUCAUGUUACAGAUAUCAGCAAAGAACUAACUUGACUCUGCCUUUAACGCAGGUCAUCUUCUAGAAGUCAUCUUAUUAUGCUACAGUUUUUAAGUUGGGCUGCCCAAAUAGUCUCAAUAUUUUACUGGUAUUGAAGGAAAAAAAUCUCAUGCUAAAUAUAGUGGAAACAAAGCAAAGAAAUAGAGAAUAAUAAUAAAAAAAAUACCACCAGUCCCAAAGAGUCACUGAUUUUAUACUGAUUGCAUCUAGACUGACUUUUAAUGGUCUGAGUCCAGGAUUCCAUUAGUGUUUAAUAAAUGAUGGUAAUGAUAUCCUACCUAAACAAUGCACACAGAGCUCCCAUUGACUUCAACAUGAGUUCUCGGUGCAGACUGAUGGCAGGAUAUUCCUGUGACAGAGAUGAAUUUUCCAUUAGAACAAAAUGAGGAAGACCUGUCUCAGUCAGCAGAAUUCACAGCAACAAGAAAUAUUCCUUGGGGGCUCAGUGAAAGAUGGCCAUCCUGAGUGGUGGAAAGUAAAUUGGGUGGGAAACUGUGAGGCAUACUUGGACAGUUGUAAAACCAAUUAAAACCAUCAUGCAGUUAUAUUGAUGUUUAAUUUGUAUCAUCUGGAAACCACAACUUCCUUUCUCAUCACACCAUGGGGGAAAUUGCUGUUCUUUUUUAUAUGAAGGCAAAGAGUGCAUUUAAUAUUGGGAUAGAAGAGAGAGUGUGUACGUCUAGUACUAUGUCUUGAUUACCAACUUUCACUCAGAAUAGGGAAAGGAAAAAUGAAAUGCUGUUAGUUAUAAACAAUGGAGAACCAUUACCCAUACAGAAAUUUGGGCAACGACACAAAGAAUUCAGCUGAACGUUUUCCUUCAAGGAUUUUGUUAAAAAUACAGUCAAUGAGUUGAUGUGAAGUCAGCUUUGCAUGUGGCAGAGAGGCAGCUAAGUACAACAGGGGCAGAGAGAAACCUCUUUUGGCAUUGCUUUUAUUGUGAAAAAGGGAUAUAUUUUCUGCAAAAAAAAAUAAUUUUGAUUUUGUUAUCAAUUUCUUCUCUUGGAAGACUAUAUGUUUCACUUGAAUAUUUGGGUCAAAAACACAAAACUUUCAACCUUUUCUAAGGUAUUCACUGAAGGGAAAAGGAAAAGGAGUUAAUAUAAGAAAACACAAGUAAUUCAAUUACUUUUUUUGAUAGAUGUUUAAUAACAAUAGAUUGAUGCUAAAUGAACAUGUAUAUUUCCAGGAGCAAAUAUGUAAUUUUUGGAAUGCAUCUUAGAAAAACAGGAUGUAUUUGGCUGGGGAAAUACCUUUGCUUUUUAUGAUAUAUUAAUGAUCUUAGCAAAAAACAUCAUGUCUUAGAAUAGAUGAUUAAAAGGAUGAAGAAAACCAGCAUCUGAGUGAAAAAUCAAAGGCAAAAGUAAUUGUAAGUAAGAUGGAUAGCCAGAAAAAUAUCUCUUCCUUCCCCAUUAAGUUGUUAUGCACUAGCAAUGCAUACUACAGGAUCAGGAUAAUUAGGAAAUCCCAUUAUUUUGUAAAAACCAUUUUUGGAUGGGCAGAACUGAGGUAUCUAUCUAAUAAGUGUGGAUUUUUUAAAUGCAAAACUGUCAGUUCAUGUCUCUACAGUGGUGCAAAUUAGGCACCCAAAAUCCAGAGUGGCUUUUCAGAAUUUUGAUCUGGAUUUCACUCCAAGCUCCUGGAGAAUUGUACUUUUUAUUUAGUAAGAUUCUCAGCUUUUAUUGCUCUAAGAAGUGAUCUUGACAAUUUUCUUUUUCCACUCACAUUAUGGCUUUUACAUGGCCUAGUGCAAAGAAUAUAAAUAUUGCUUGAGCUACUUAUAGGUGCAAAUGGAAAUGUGAAAAUAUUUAUGGCUGAAAUGAAAGUAUAAUCUGUAUUGCUUAAUUAUGAUAAUCCAGGGAAAUUAUUCUCACAUAAUGCCCUAUAAAGCAGUAAAAGGAAAAAUAGCUAGCUGCUCUUUUUUGUUGCUUGCUUCAGAUAGGUCCAGGUAAGAUGUUAGUAAACUUGCAUUUCAUGUUGACUAUCUUGUUUAAGCUGUAUGUUGUAAAAGUAUAGUACUCUAAAUUACAAUUUCUAUUGCUUGCGAAGUGCUGGGAGAAGGCAUAGAUUUCAGUGUAAUAUCAUUCAAACUAAUCUCUGAAUCUGUAGGAAUUCUUGUUUACUUAUUUGUAAUUAUUUAACAUCUGUUGACUUUAGGGUCAUAAAGUUAGUUUAUAGAGUUUAAGAAAGUUUUAAACAGAACCAGAAGUUAUUGCUAGUCCUUCUGGCUGCGAAGUUAUCUUCUUAAUAUAAAGAAUCACUACAGCUAAGUUUAUGGAGUAUGUGGAACUCAUUAAAUUUUUUGUAAAUAUCAAUAGAUUAGUCUUGCCUAAUGUGAAAUUUGGAAAUGUAUGCAUUUAUUGUCAAUUCUUACUUUCAAGUAAGACAGAGAUGGAGAAAAUAAAGUAUUAUGGCUUAUAGAAUCUACAAGGUAUUUCAUCAGGCUUACAUAGCAGGAAGGAUUGCCAACUGUAAGGCUUCAAAGGACUUUCUGAAAAACAAAACAACACAACAAACAUGCUUUACUAACAACAAAAAAAGAUGCAGUGUGUCUUUCCAUGGUGCUCUGUUUUACCCUGUUGGAUAGCUAACAGGAGAGGCAAGCAGUAAAUUUUCAUAUGGCUGGUGAUUCCAAAUAGCUCUAUCUCAUUGCUGCUUAGAUAUCCAAAUGACAGCUGACUCCCCUGACAGUCCCAGUUUUAGGGACUUGGACAGGAGUUCCUCUCUUCCACUUGGUUGUGUACUCCCAUGGUUCUUGGAGAGACUCAGUAUCUUCAGUACUUCUAACACUGUGCCAGAAGUAGCUGAAGCUGGCAAAAUGAUUCACAAGCUACUGAGGGAAAGAAGUCAGACACAGACAACAUAGACUUUAUUUCCUUAGGAGACCAGCUGAAAUCAACUCUAUCUUCAAUCCCAGAUGAAAAGUGGUGAUGGCUCCUAAGGCUGAAUAUGAGCUCCUUGAAGAAAACUGACACUUCCUCUUUCCAGACUAAAUGCUGUGGUGGUGCUGUCUCUCAGCCAUUUCAAACUGACUUGAAACCACACUGCUCCUGAGAGCCUUUUCUUCCCUCUGCUGCUUCACCUGCACUGGUUCUCUAUAUGUUUCUUUGGUGGCUGAUCUCACUGAGAACUGUACAUGCCAAUCAUCAAACUAUAGAAGUGAGAAUGAGCUGGCAAUGGCUUCUCACUUUGCAAAUUAUUUUGCUUUGUUUUAAAAAUGUGUGGAUUAAAGUAUUAUUUUGAAGUUAGCUGUCUUAUGGGACUGCUUUUUGUAACUUCAAAAAGAAUAAAGAUCUGGCAGUUUGGCAUUUGGAAGAAAACAAUGAGUUACCCUUUCUGUAGUUUCAGAAAGGGGUACAGGCCUAAUUUAUCUUCCUUUGUGCACAGUGGAAGAGCCU